UUCCGAUUCCAGAUCUUGGGACUCACAUUAAGACUCACCCUUCCUUGCUGUUGUCACCAGCGAAGGAAAAAGUCAGAUCCAGAUCCAGGCCCUUGGACUAUAAUUUGACAGUUUGCUUAACCUCGAAGGGUUGCAUUCUUCUGCGGUUUAAAAUGGAAAUAUUAAUAUUUGCCUCCAGGGUUAUGGGGACAAAAUGAGUUGUUACAGAAGCUCUUGGAAGAGGGCUGCUGGGUUCUGGUUCCUGUUCUGUGGAGGAGCUGAUGCCUGUGGGUCUCGGGCUUCAAGAAGUCAUGGAUACUGCCUGCGGGCUGCAAGGGUCCUCACCACAGCCCUGGUUUCCCCUCAGCUCCCUCGGUGCAGGUGUGGUUCCCAAAUCUCCAAAAAUUUUUAAGAGAACUGCCCACAUCAUUGUUUCAUUAAGGACCAUUUCAAUGGUAAGAUGGCUCAGUGGGUAAAGGGGCUUGCUGCGAAGUCUGGAAAUCUGAGUUCAAUCACUGGAAGAGAACAGACCACAUGAAGAUGAGAGGCCAGAGGACCUCAGGUGUCAUUCUCAGGAACUCCAUCCACCUCCUUGGAACAGGAACUCUGGCAGACCUGUAACUCACCAAUUAGGUUGGACUGGCUGGCCAGGGAGCUACAGAGAUCCUCCUGUCUUCACAGCUCUGGAAAUAUAAGUGGGAACCGCCACACUUGACUUUUUAUAUGGGUUCUGGGUAUUAAACAGGUUAUCAAAGGAAGAAAGUUCUGUACCAAUGGAAUUGUCUUCCCUGACCCUGGAGAUAGGAUCUUAUGCUGUAGCCCAGACUGGACUUGAACCUCUGAUUUUUCUGCCUGUUGCUCAAGUGUUGAGAUUAAAGACCUGAGCCACCAUAUUUGGCACAUUAAAAGACUUUGGAAAUGCUAAA
Long non-coding RNA from Mesocricetus auratus (golden hamster), 905 nucleotides. RefSeq lists it as uncharacterized. The record is from RefSeq and is a predicted model, not a curated record. NCBI's taxonomy places the organism in Eukaryota, Metazoa, Chordata, Mammalia, Rodentia, Cricetidae. The transcript has 2 exons.